Molecule: non-coding RNA, 72 nt
Organism: Ostertagia ostertagi
Lineage: Eukaryota; Metazoa; Nematoda; Chromadorea; Rhabditida; Trichostrongylidae
Source: the annotation of a GenBank genome assembly
GCCAAAGUGGUUGAGUGGUUAGACAGCAGAUUGCAAACCUGCUCCACGUCGGUUCGAAUCCGGCCUUUGGCU